GGCCCCGUAGCUCAGAUGGAUAGAGCAACCGCCUCCUAAGCGGUAGGUCGCGCGUUCGACUCGCGCCGGGGUCACCA
RNAcentral lists this transfer RNA (77 nucleotides) under Hyphomicrobiales bacterium. RNAcentral's name for it is "tRNA-Arg". It matches the Rfam family "tRNA". Rfam says of the family: Transfer RNA (tRNA) molecules are approximately 80 nucleotides in length. The record is from RNAcentral. Lineage: Bacteria; Pseudomonadati; Pseudomonadota; Alphaproteobacteria; Hyphomicrobiales. RNAcentral also lists the same sequence under 3 other names.